UGGCGGACGGGUGAGUAACGCGUGGGUAACCUGCCUCACACUGGGGGAUAACAGUUAGAAAUAGCUGCUAAUACCGCAUAAGCGCACGGUUCCGCAUGGAACAGUGUGAAAAACUCCGGUGGUGUGAGAUGGACCCGCGUCCGAUUAGCCAGUUGGCGGGGUAACGGCCCACCAAAGCGACGAUCAGUAGCCGGCCUGAGAGGGUGAACGGCCACAUUGGGACUGAGACACGGCCCAA
RNAcentral lists this ribosomal RNA (238 nucleotides) under uncultured bacterium. RNAcentral describes it as "partial 16S ribosomal RNA". It matches the Rfam family "Bacterial small subunit ribosomal RNA", at positions 96 to 334 of the family's 1533-position model. The record is from RNAcentral.